CGACCGCGAAGCUUCCAUGAAUAAGAAACGCACAAAUACAGGCUCAAGGGCACCUUCCCGAGACGAUCUGACCUCCACCUACACCGAGCUGAACAUUCGGAAAGUCGAACGGCUCAGCAAUAGACAAGCAGAUGGACUGGACCCCACCUACUCUCAGCUGAACCUUCGCCAAAAUGAAGUUCUCAUCGCGAAGGAAGAAGAUCCUCCUCUUGCGUCGGGACGAG
Long non-coding RNA from Hypanus sabinus (Atlantic stingray), 224 nucleotides. RefSeq lists it as uncharacterized. The record is from RefSeq and is a predicted model, not a curated record. The transcript is spliced from 3 exons. NCBI's taxonomy places the organism in Eukaryota, Metazoa, Chordata, Chondrichthyes, Myliobatiformes, Dasyatidae.